This 750-nucleotide ribosomal RNA is filed under the name uncultured Enhydrobacter sp. Its description in RNAcentral is "bacterial SSU rRNA". It matches the Rfam family "Bacterial small subunit ribosomal RNA", at positions 28 to 776 of the family's 1533-position model. The record is from RNAcentral. Lineage: Bacteria; Pseudomonadati; Pseudomonadota; Alphaproteobacteria; Hyphomicrobiales.
AUUGAACGCUGGCGGCAGGCUUAACACAUGCAAGUCGAACGAUGAUUAUCUAGCUUGCUAGAUAUGAUUAGUGGCGGACGGGUGAGUAACAUUUAGGAAUCUACCUAGUAGUGGGGGAUAGCUCGGGGAAACUCGAAUUAAUACCGCAUACGACCUACGGGGGAAAGGGGGCGCAAGCUCUUGCUAUUAGAUGAGCCUAAAUCAGAUUAGCUAGUUGGUGGGGUAAAGGCCCACCAAGGCGACGAUCUGUAACUGGUCUGAGAGGAUGAUCAAUCACACCGGAACUGAGACACGGUCCGGACUCCUACGGGAGGCAGCAGUGGGGAAUAUUGGACAAUGGGGGCAACCCUGAUCCAGCCAUGCCGCGUGUGUGAAGAAGGCCUUUUGGUUGUAAAGCACUUUAAGCAGGGAGGAGAGGCUAAUGGUUAAUACCCAUUAGAUUAGACGUUACCUGCAGAAUAAGCACCGGCUAACUCUGUGCCAGCAGCCGCGGUAAUACAGAGGGUGCGAGCGUUAAUCGGAAUUACUGGGCGUAAAGCGAGUGUAGGUGGCUCAUUAAGUCACAUGUGAAAUCCCCGGGCUUAACCUGGGAACUGCAUGUGAUACUGGUGGUGCUAGAAUAUGUGAGAGGGAAGUAGAAUUCCAGGUGUAGCGGUGAAAUGCGUAGAGAUCUGGAGGAAUACCGAUGGCGAAGGCAGCUUCCUGGCAUAAUAUUGACACUGAGAUUCGAAAGCGUGGGUAGCAAACAGG